Non-coding RNA from Vicugna pacos (alpaca), 583 nucleotides. The record is from RefSeq and is a predicted model, not a curated record. Lineage: Eukaryota; Metazoa; Chordata; Mammalia; Artiodactyla; Camelidae.
GCCAGGCAAGGCGCGGUCUUAGUUUGGAGUUUGCUCCGCGGUGUCCUCCCAAGGCCACCCACCACUGCUUUGGGAGGAGGGACCCAAGGCUCCGCAGGCUCUCACCUGCUACUGAAGGGGAUCUUGCCAGGGUCCAGCUUAUGAGGUCCAGUAUUGGGGUCAAAUCCUGAACCUUGACUCCCAGGGGCGCACCCAAAGACCACCACCCGCUGUCGGUGCAGCCGAGAGACUAGGCUGUGCCCACCCGCAAGGCGAGCGCUGGGCGCCACGCAGAGACACCGCGCCGCGUCCCAGCCACCGGGACAUCGCACGGCUGGAUCUGCGGCCAGACAACCCGCGGCCCUCCAGCUGGUCUCCCGCAAGGGAACCAAGUGUUUCCGCAAGACAACUUCCCAGAGCUUCCAGGCCCACCCGUCCAGGCCCCAGAUCCCGGGGCCCUGCGUGCCCCUCUCACCGGCCGCCUGGGGCCGAGCGCGGGACACACCCUGGGCCGGACCCGUGCUCAGACGGAACCUGAGUGCGUGGGACUUGAGGCAGCCGGAAGGAUUAAUGGCAAACCCUUGCGUUGCCCCAUUGCUCCAGC